UACGUAGGGGGCAAGCGUUGUCCGGAUUUAUUGGGCGUAAAGAGCGUGUAGGCGGCUUUGCAAGUCCGUUGUGAAAACUCGAGGCUCAACCUCGAGACGCCGGUGGAAACUGCAAAGCUAGAGUCCGGAAGAGGAGAGUGGAAUUCCUGGUGUAGCGGUGAAAUGCGCAGAUAUCAGGAAGAACACCCGUGGCGAAGGCGGCUCUCUGGGACGGUACUGACGCUGAGACGCGAAAGCUAGGGGAGCAAACGGG
Molecule: ribosomal RNA, 253 nt
Filed under: uncultured bacterium
Lineage: Bacteria
Description: partial 16S ribosomal RNA
Rfam family: Bacterial small subunit ribosomal RNA
Source: RNAcentral